AUGGAUCUUGCAAUAUCUGCCGUUACAAGUGACCUCGCCAGCCGAUUCAUCUCUUUCCUCAUGAAAAAAUAUGCGGACCGUCUGUACUCGGAGCAAAAGGUGGAGAGGCUACAGCAACUCUUGUUGAGUGUUCACACGGUCGUCGACGAGGCGGAUGGACGCCACAUCAUGAACUCUUGUAUGCUCAUGCAGUUGAAGCAGCUAUCGGCAACCACGUACCAAGGGUACCAUGUCUUGGACAGCAUCAGGUACAAGCAACAUAAGGAGGCAUCCAAGGACUCGGUGAGCGAUUCAUCUACGUCGUCUGAUUAUAUCAUUCCUUUCAAACAUGCUCGCACAACCAAUAGUUCUUCGGCAAACAAGGCCUCCAACUCGGGAUUACAAAGUGCACUUCAGAAUCUGGAAGCUGCUGUUACUGACAUGGUGGAGUUUGUUGUGCUCUUGAGCGGAUGCGAGCGCAUCUCCCGGAGACCGUAUGAUGCCUAUCUUCAGGUCGACAACUUCAUGUUUGGUCGGCAUGUCGAGAAGCAGAAGAUCAUCAACUUCUUGCUGCAACAGGACUUACCUGGUCCUCCGGCGGUACUACCGAUCAUUGGUGGACGUGGAGUUGGGAAGAAAACUCUUGUUGCACAUGUAUGCAGGUAUGACACGGUGCGUUCUCACUUCACAGUUAUUUUGCACCUGAGUGGAGACGAUCUUACCAGGAUGACAAACCAUGAUAUUCCGUCAGGGAAGACACUGGUAGUUGUCGAGUUUGCUUCCGAUGUAGAUGACGAUGACUGGAAUACAUUCUAUUCAUCUGUUAUAGGUAUGGAAACAAGAAGCAAAGUGAUAAUCUUAGGUCGAAAUGAAAGCUUGAAGAAACUUGGGACCGUCCAGACUAUUUCUCUGAACCGUCUAACAUUCGAGGAGUACAGGUACCUGCUCAAGACACUUGCAUUUGGAAGCGUCAAGCCGGGAGACCAUCCGCGGUUAGCGACGAUAGUGGAAGAGUUGGCUGUGGUGUUGGAAGGAUCACUCGUUUCAGCUAACUUGCUUGGAUAUGCAGUGAGAAAGAAUCUGAAUGCCCAUUUCUGGCUUAGCGCAUUGAACAAGAUCAGAAUCACAGGGAAGGUGAACAUAUCCAGGUUUGGCUGCCAUCCAAAUGGCCUUCUCGAUCAAGGCCGUCCGGUUCACUUCGGCCCUCACCACCUCUUGUCUCCUCCUGCUCCAGCUCCAUCAUGCCUUAUACCCUCUGCUAGCAGUUGGAGUAGUCUACCCAAACUGAUAUUUGGGGACUUGCUAGCAGAAGCAGGCCAUAUUGCUCCACCGAAGGGAGAUUUUAGGCUGAUCUCUUGGGAAUCAAGGCUACCACCAUACACUGUGUUUGAUCAUCUGGCUCGCUUUGUUCCAAGUUGUGUGGAUGAUAAACCUGAAGCAUCCUUGUCAGGGAGGAAGCGUCUGGGGCCAUCUGCGUAG
This 1458-nucleotide ribosomal RNA is filed under the name Triticum aestivum (bread wheat). RNAcentral's name for it is "partial small subunit ribosomal RNA". The record is from RNAcentral. Lineage: Eukaryota; Viridiplantae; Streptophyta; Magnoliopsida; Poales; Poaceae.